This is a long non-coding RNA of Eriocheir sinensis (Chinese mitten crab), 1718 nucleotides long. RefSeq lists it as uncharacterized. Lineage: Eukaryota; Metazoa; Arthropoda; Malacostraca; Decapoda; Varunidae. The transcript is spliced from 2 exons. The record is from RefSeq and is a predicted model, not a curated record.
GGGGGGAAGAGAGGAGGGGGAGUACUGCCUCUCUCCCUUCAGUCCUUGGGAGGGCGGUGCAAAAAAGUGGGGUGGGUGUUCCCCUAAGCUGUGUGAGGUUCCUGGCGGCGAAAGGUAGACGGGUAGGUGGGUGAAGAGGGGGCGACAGGUAGACGGGUAGGUGGGCGAUGGGCAGAUGGGGAGGUGGGUGAAGAGGGGGCGACAGGUAGACGGGUAGGUGGGCGAUGGGCAGAUGGGGAGGUGGGUGAAGAGGGGAAGGUGAGCAGGUCCAGGUAAGGUAAGUGGGGAGGAAAGGCGUGCGUUUUUAGCUACGAGAGAAGCGACGGGCGUGUUGCAGAAGGGAAGGGCGAAGGGGAGGGAGGAGUCAGGUCAGCACAAUACUUUCCCUCACGUUCAUGCCCUCCCCCCUUCCUUCCGUCCUUCCUAACCCUCUUAAAAGCCAUUACCUCAGCAUCUUUUUAAUAGCCCUCUAAGGUACAUUUAUUUCAUCCAUAUAAGAAUUCCCCUGGAGUCAUGAUGCAACACCAGUAGCAGUUAAAAGGGGUUCUAUACAAGCGGGAGAGUUACGAUUAAUAAAAGUAAUAGCAUGUGUGUAUUCUUCAGUGGUACAUAAUCGUGCAUGACCUGAUUUCGAGGCUAAGCGCAGCAUCCAACAGCUAAUAACAAGUGACUGAAGCAAACGUGUAAUUAGCCUGUCGAGGACCUGCAGCGAGACAAACUUAACAUUAACUCCAGUGACAUUAAACUUCCUCUUACACGCUCGUUAUUCCUAUUCCUACUCUCAUCCUCACACAGGUAUUAUUAUCACCACCUGGAGUCGGGAUGUGAACAAUUAACUGCUUAAAACAAAGGGUUGGCACGCAGCAGGAACCUCCCUCACGACCCUGCCGACGCCUGCCCUUCCUGCCGGCCCCCUCCCCUGCCUUCCCUACCUCCCGCUGGUGCAGAUACGCUCCGCUGCCCCUGCUUGCAUCACCUGCCUCUGCCUCCCCUGCCAAUACCCCUAACCAAGCAUGCCCUACCCCCUACCCCUGCCCCUUCCCUCUCGACCGUUCCUCUGCUUGCGUAUGUGUUUCUCCCUUCCUCCUCAGCCAAUACCCCUGUCCAAGCAUACCCUACCCCUGGCCCCCCUUCCCUCUGGACCGUUCCUCUGCUUGCGUAUGUGUUUCUCCUUUCCUCCUUCUCCCUUUCGGCCUUCACCUGCGGCCUGCAUAUUCAUUCCUCAUCAGCAUGUUAAAUGUAGCCUAUAGUUCCCCUCCCGCCUCGUUCCCGGUCCAGGCGUGCCCAUCCCCGGCCUGGCGGCGUGAGGUCAGGCCAUUCACAACGUCCAAGGUGAAAGUAGUACUGGUGGAGGCGUAAGAUGCACCCCUCCCUCCUCCCUCGGGUUGCUGCCAUCUCCUCCUCCUCCUCCUCCUCCUCUUCUUCGUGUUCCUCCUUUACUUAUUAUUAUUCUCCUCCUACGCUGACCUUUUCUGUUUACUCCUUGCCUUGCCUUCCCGUUCCUCUCCUCUCCUUCCCACACGUAUUUCAUCCCCUUUGCCCUCCUCCUCCUCCUCCCUCUCUCCCAAGUGGCCCUCUUCGUCCUUCUCUUCCCUUUUUUUUUUCUCCUUCUCUCACGAUCGUUUGAAGGCACAGAUUUUAAUUUUUAUUUCAUCGGGAGAGCCAACAAGUUCUCUCUCUCUCUCUCUCUCUCUCUCUCUCUCUCUCUCUCUCUCUCU